GAUCAUGGCUCAGGAUGAACGCUGGCGGCGUGCUUAACACAUGCAAGUCGAACGAAGCACUUUAUUUGAUUUCCUUCGGGACUGAUUAUUUUGUGACUGAGUGGCGGACGGGUGAGUAACGCGUGGGUAACCUGCCUUGUACAGGGGGAGUAACAGUUGGAAACGGCUGCUAAUACCGCAUAAGCGCACAGCAUCGCAUGAUGCAGUGUGAAAAACUACCGGUGGUAUAAGAUGGACCCG
This 240-nucleotide ribosomal RNA is filed under the name uncultured bacterium. RNAcentral's name for it is "partial 16S ribosomal RNA". It matches the Rfam family "Bacterial small subunit ribosomal RNA", at positions 15 to 233 of the family's 1533-position model. The record is from RNAcentral.